CGGGUGAGUAACACGUGAGUAACCUGCCCCUGACUUCGGGAUAACUCCGGGAAACCGGGGCUAAUACUGGAUAUGAGCCGCUUCCGCAUGGGGGUGGUUGGAAAGUUUUUCGGUCAGGGAUGGGCUCGCGGCCUAUCAGCUUGUUGGUGGGGUGAUGGCCUACCAAGGCGACGACGGGUAGCCGGCCUGAGAGGGCGACCGGCCACACUGGGACUGAGACACGGCCCAGACUCCUACGGGAGGCAGCAGUGGGGAAUAUUGCACAAUGGGCGCAAGCCUGAUGCAGCGACGCCGCGUGAGGGAUGACGGCCUUCGGGUUGUAAACCUCUUUCAGCAGGGAAGAAGCGCAAGUGACGGUACCUGCAGAAGAAGCGCCGGCUAACUACGUGCCAGCAGCCGCGGUAAUACGUAGGGCGCAAGCGUUGUCCGGAAUUAUUGGGCGUAAAGAGCUCGUAGGCGGUUUGUCGCGUCUGGUGUGAAAACUCGAGGCUCAACCUCGAGCUUGCAUCGGGUACGGGCAGACUAGAGUGCGGUAGGGGAGACUGGAAUUCCUGGUGUAGCGGUGGAAUGCGCAGAUAUCAGGAGGAACACCGAUGGCGAAGGCAGGUCUCUGGGCCGCAACUGACGCUGAGGAGCGAAAGCAUGGGGAGCGAACAGGAUUAGAUACCCUGGUAGUCCAUGCCGUAAACGU
RNAcentral lists this ribosomal RNA (691 nucleotides) under Cellulosimicrobium funkei. RNAcentral describes it as "bacterial SSU rRNA". It matches the Rfam family "Bacterial small subunit ribosomal RNA", at positions 103 to 809 of the family's 1533-position model. The record is from RNAcentral. Lineage: Bacteria; Bacillati; Actinomycetota; Actinomycetes; Micrococcales; Promicromonosporaceae.